GACGAACGCUGGCGGCGUGCUUAACACAUGCAAGUCAAGGGGCCCUUCGGGUCACUGGCGCACGGGUGAGUAACGCGUAGAUAAUCUGCCCCUAUCUCCGGAAUAACGUCAAGAAAUUGGCACUAAGAACGGAUGAGGCACACUGUGUCAAAGGAAACGGAUAGGGAGUGAGUCUGCGUCUGAUUAGCUUGUUGGUAAGGUAAUGGCUUACCAAGGCGACGAUCAGUAGCUGGUCUGAGAGGACGAUCAGCCACACUGGAACUGAGACACGGUCCAGACUCCUACGGGAGGCAGCAGUGAGGAAUUUUGCACAAUGGGGGAAACCCGUACGAUGCAGC
This 338-nucleotide ribosomal RNA is filed under the name uncultured bacterium. RNAcentral describes it as "bacterial SSU rRNA". It matches the Rfam family "Bacterial small subunit ribosomal RNA", at positions 28 to 395 of the family's 1533-position model. The record is from RNAcentral.